AAGUCGUAACAAGGUUUCCGUAGGUGAACCUGCGGAAGGAUCAUUACUGAAUUUGAAAGAGGUUGUUGCUGGCCUUCACCGGCAUGUGCACGCCUUGAUCUCAUCCAUCUUACACCUGUGCACCUUUGCGUGGGUCUGCUGGCUUUGCGGCUUGCAGGCUUGCGUCUUUCACAAACUCUUAUGUAUGUAACAGAAUGUCUUAUGCUAUAAAACGCAUCUUAUACAACUUUCAACAACGGAUCUCUUGGCUCUC
This 253-nucleotide unclassified non-coding RNA is filed under the name air metagenome. RNAcentral's name for it is "partial contains small subunit ribosomal RNA, internal transcribed spacer 1, and 5.8S ribosomal RNA". The stretch from base 1 to 46 matches the Rfam family "Eukaryotic small subunit ribosomal RNA", at positions 1786 to 1831 of the family's 1831-position model. The record is from RNAcentral.